This 492-nucleotide ribosomal RNA is filed under the name uncultured bacterium. Its description in RNAcentral is "partial 16S ribosomal RNA". It matches the Rfam family "Bacterial small subunit ribosomal RNA", at positions 29 to 507 of the family's 1533-position model. The record is from RNAcentral.
AGUGAACGCUGGCGGUAGGCCUAACACAUGCAAGUCGAACGGCAGCACAGUAAGAGCUUGCUCUUACGGGUGGCGAGUGGCGGACGGGUGAGGAAUACAUCGGAAUCUACUUUUUCGUGGGGGAUAACGUAGGGAAACUUACGCUAAUACCGCAUACGACCUACGGGUGAAAGCAGGGGAUCUUCGGACCUUGCGCGAAUGAAUGAGCCGAUGUCGGAUUAGCUAGUUGGCGGGGUAAAGGCCCACCAAGGCGACGAUCCGUAGCUGGUCUGAGAGGAUGAUCAGCCACACUGGAACUGAGACACGGUCCAGACUCCUACGGGAGACAGCAGUGGGGAAUAUUGGACAAUGGGCGCAAGCCUGAUCCAGCCAUACCGCGUGGGUGAAGAAGGCCUUCGGGUUGUAAAGCCCUUUUGUUGGGAAAGAAAAGCAGCAGGUUAAUACCCCGCUGUUCUGACGGUACCCAAAGAAUAAGCACCGGCUAACUUCGUG